ACCUGAAGAAAAAGUACUAUGAGGAACCAAGGAAGGGGAUACAGGCUGAAGAGAUUCUGCAGACAUACUUGAAAUCCAAGGAGUCUGUGACUGAUGCAAUUCUCCAGACAGACCAGACUCUCACAGAAAAGGAAAAGGAGAUUGAAGGUGAGGAGUGAGUUAAAAGAUUAGAUGGCCUCAAAAGCUCCAAAAAUUGAAAUAACUUGACUGGAUAAACAUGGGACCCUUUAACUAGAGCAAGAUCCACAAAGUUGUGUCUUACUUGCUGAGGUCAUCUCUGAGUAGGGCAUAUGCAGUCAACAACAACGACAGGUAAGUGUAUAAGGAAGAAUGAGGCAACAAGAUAACCCCACACAAAUUUUUCUUCUUCCUUUUCCUCCACAGUGGAACGUGUGAAAGCAGAGUCUGCACAGGCUUCAGCAAAAAUGUUGCAGGAAAUGCAAAGAAAGAAUGAACAGAUAAUGGAACAGAAGGAGAGGAGUUAUCAGGAACACUUGAAACAACUGACUGAGAAGAUGGAGAGCGACAGGGCCCAGUUGCUGAAAGAGCAAGAGAGGACCCUCGCUCUUAAACUUCAGGAACAGGAGCGACUACUAAAAGAGGGAUUUCA
Molecule: small RNA, 610 nt
Filed under: Pongo abelii (Sumatran orangutan)
Lineage: Eukaryota; Metazoa; Chordata; Mammalia; Primates; Hominidae
Description: processed transcript
Source: RNAcentral